This is a long non-coding RNA of Leopardus geoffroyi (Geoffroy's cat), 1606 nucleotides long. RefSeq lists it as uncharacterized. The transcript is spliced from 2 exons. The record is from RefSeq and is a predicted model, not a curated record. Lineage: Eukaryota; Metazoa; Chordata; Mammalia; Carnivora; Felidae.
AGAGCAGGUAGGGUGAUAAACGGGCCGUGAAUUUGUGAGUUGAAUCACAAGAAUGAUAAGAAUUGUAUUUGUGUGUGUAUUCUAAAAUCAGCCUAGUUUGAACCAUCGUAACAAAUUAUGUCUAAACUGGGAAGUCCAUUUCCCCCGGCUGGGUAGGAAGUAUUUACCACUGGAGCCCAGGCCACAUGUGCCCUUCCCCUUUGGUGAACCACUCCGCCCCCAACACUAUUGCCGGGACCCAGGGAGCACUCCUUGCCCUGACCUUGGGACUUUGUUCUUCUAAAUCUGCAGGCCUCUUUCUGGCUCCUAAAUUCUCUCCAGAGUGGCAGAAUUGCUAGUUUUUCCUGAUCACAUAUAUCCGUUAAUUCUCACAUGACAAGAGUGUCUGGGUAUUUUGAUGGUGGUGUCGCCGAAGCUUUUCCCCGUGAGGCUGCUGUCUGUUCUCUGCAUAUUCCCUGUAGUCGCUUUCGCACAUCAUUUUGUUCUCGGGAGAAGCAGUUACACCUUUUCCCUAGAAGCCGAGUAACACUGUCUGACCGGGCUAAUGUUACACCCAUUUAAAUGGGAAAAAGUGAGGAUUCCCAGCUGGCAGGCGAGGAAGGCCAGGUGCUGUCUCUCCUGCGUCAUCGUACCUUUUGUUUUCUGCUGGCUAGAGGUCCAGUUCUUGCAUUUUGGGAAGGAGAAGUUUCCUAAUACAGAAGGAGGAAGUGUCCAUGGCCAGGUGUUUUUCUUCUUUCCCACAUUUUAUUUCGUGUACAAGUGAUAUUCGAUGUAAGCAACUUCCCACAGGUGGCUUUUAAAAGAGACCUGACCAUCUGCCCACGGAGGCCGGUACCCUUGACGGUCUUUGGGAAUCUAUGCACGUGCUUUGUAACGUGGGUAUGGUUUAUUUAAAAACUGAACAUUUCUGUGGAGUAACUCAUCUAGUCUCAUGACUGGAUGAAUGAGAACUGAGUGAAGUCGUCGUCCUGUGGGGGUAUUUCAAAGUCUUCAGACACAAGCUGAGGAACAAAGGAAGGUGCCUGAGCUUCAGAAUUCCUGGAUGUCCCACUUACUAGUGUGGGACUUGGGACCUGCUUGUACUUUCCUCUGAAUAAAGAAGUGCUGACGCGUCCCCCUCAGGCUGUCCAUCAGAACCCCCGCCCCCCAACAGCUAUUCACUGUGGUGACUGGUAGCUCCCAGGGCACCUGCCACCAUGUGAGUGAGCCCUCAGUGAGGGGAUGUGCCUGUGAUUUAUGAGGGUGUGGGCAGAAUAGCACCAGGCACUUGGGAAACAGUCACUGUGGUCACCGGACAUCAGGGCGUGUGGGGUCUAACCCAGAUCUCCUGACUGUGUUACCUUAGCCUGUUCCCAAGGAGGUGCAAUCUUAGGUGCAAAUUAUGUGUCAUUCUGGAGGGUGAUCUUGACUCAGGUUCAGAGGUGAGACCACUUUGAGCAGGAAUAUUUUUUCUUCCCUAGAAAUUUGGCAUUUAACCUCGGUUUUGGCUUCAUUGUUAAUGUUUUUCCCAACGUGUUUAGCACUUCAUGGUUUAGCACUGUUUGAAUUUUAGGAUCCUAUUAUGUUGAGACUAUUUUUAUAAGAAGAAGAACCGUAACAGCAGCAA